CGGAAUCUCUGCAUCUGCUUG
This 21-nucleotide unclassified non-coding RNA is filed under the name Mus musculus (house mouse). Its description in RNAcentral is "oocyte_clustered_small_RNA9296". Lineage: Eukaryota; Metazoa; Chordata; Mammalia; Rodentia; Muridae. The record is from RNAcentral.